GAUUUGGAACCCCCCAAUAUCCGCUUCUCGUGAUGGGGAGAUUUCGUCGACCUCGUCUCCUUGAUGCUCUGCACCAAACCCUUUGGAAACCCCUACAACCAUCAAUGUUCCGCCGUUGAUCUCCGAAAUCUGGAUCCAUAAGCAUGCGUAUACACCAAACGAGAGGCUUUGCUUAAUCCUUCAGGAACAGGAAACUGCAAAAACCAAAGAAUAAGGAACUGUACUCGAAUCUAAUUUCAUAAUGACAUUCUGGAUUAAAGCGUGCAGCAAAAUGUAGGCAGUAAGAGCAAUGGCACAUGGUAUAAUUGUCAGCUCUCCAGCAUUGUUGCCAGUGUCGAAGCAUGCAGGAAGAGCAAUGUGGCUAUACCAGGAAGUAUUCGACUGAGGCAAGGAAUGUGGAUGUAUACCAAAAUGUGAGUAGGCAAGCAUUGAUUUGCUGGUUGCAUUAUAUCAAGUGCACAAAUUCAACAUUACUGUAAUCUUCUCUGCAUUCAUUACUACUUUGUAUGUGAGGCCAUAAAAUGUCUGUCUCACGCAGUUCAUGCAUUUGAUCGAUUUCGAUCCAUUUGCAAU
Musa acuminata subsp. malaccensis (wild Malaysian banana) is the source of this 573-nucleotide non-coding RNA. NCBI's taxonomy places the organism in Eukaryota, Viridiplantae, Streptophyta, Magnoliopsida, Zingiberales, Musaceae. The record is from RefSeq and is a predicted model, not a curated record.